Molecule: long non-coding RNA, 1413 nt
Organism: Macrobrachium nipponense
Lineage: Eukaryota; Metazoa; Arthropoda; Malacostraca; Decapoda; Palaemonidae
Exons: 3
Source: RefSeq, a predicted model, not a curated record
UGCUAUUAAAUCAUAUUCUUACAUAACUUUGCUUUGGCAGUGUACGUAAUUCAAAUCCUUACUGUUUGUUGGUAGUGAUCCCAUUCUGAUUUUGUUUCUGUGUGUUCGACAUAUUUCAUUUGGGUACCCUAACCAUUUUUUGGUUCUGGUUUUAAAUUCUAAACAUUACACUCGUAUUGUGGUGCCUUGUCACUACUUUUUAUAUAAAAAAGUCAAUAAUUUCGUAUUCAAGAAAGCUUCCAUAACUAAAUAAUAAAAAUACCAUAUCUUGAAAAAUGACAUUUUUAAAAUAACUUUUGAGACAGGAGCACAUAAAGCAAGAUGUGGAAGAAACAAUACAUAGUUGCCAGGUUGAAAUAGAUGUUCAUGAAGCUUUCCUCCAAUGCUAAUCAAAAACGGAAUUUGUGCUGAGUGUUCUUUCACCCAGGGUUGAACAUUCUACAGGAAGUUCAUGAAGCGGGAGCACCCAAGUGCAAUUUGUGGAGCAUGACCGCUGCUAAGGUGGUGUAGGCCACACAACCCAGUGUGCAUAAUACUUUUGUAUGAAAUUAUCUUCAGAUAAUUGCUUCACCAAGUUUUAGUCCUCCCAACAUUGCUCAUGAAAUGUCUACGAAACCUGUAUUAGAAGGGCUAGCAUUCUACCAAGGAGGAGUAAGCAGUUGGCUCUAUUUUUACACCCACCGCAAUCACCACAUGAACACCAGUUAAAAUGAUUAUCCUGCAAUCCUACCACUAUGUCAAUUAAUAGAGCAAGAGAAAGAAGUUUUGAGGAGAACCUCGAGCAUAGUCCUGCACUUUCACAACUAGAGUAUGUGUAAAAGUACUGCCGCCAGAUAUGCGCACCAGCUCAUCCAGUGGCAAUGGCCAUAACGGCAAGCAAAUCUCAGUAUGGCUUGCCAACCAACAGAUGACCAUCACCUACAAAGCACUGAAGGAUUAACUGAGAUUGUUCUUCAGCAUGCUGCCUGCCCUUAGAUCUAGGAAGUUCUUAGACAAUGUAGAGGCAGCAAUAGGAGACGUGGCCGUUGCACAUCUACAGACCUUGUGAGAGAGGUCCUACUCCCAACAUUACCCAGCCAAAUAGCCGUAGCCAUCCUCAACGCAUCAACAAUGCCACUCAACAAAUUCCUGAAAAAGGUCAAUGCUGUCCACCAGUCCCAAAAGUUGACAGAGCCCACAUAGCCACAGCAGCAGAACAGCGAGACAAGAGGGUCUUGCUGUCCCCAUACACUGCUUUUAAAGCUUCACAAGGGAGAACAAGGAAAGUUCAAGCCCAAAAGAGAAGACUGUCCUAAGGUGACAAGCUCCUACCACUGGAGGUUCUGAAGUGGAGCUCAAAAAUGGGAAAGCUGCUGCUGCAUGUCCAAAAACUGCUGCAGUCCAACAAAACAAUUAAUAGCCAGUGCUUGGCAG